CACUAUUUAAUCCUGUGAUCCCCUCCCCUCUCUCCUGGUGCGGCCAUAGACUCUGUGUGAUGGGAGCACGUCACCGUUUCAAAAGUGUCCUUC
This is a long non-coding RNA of Dermochelys coriacea (leatherback sea turtle), 93 nucleotides long. RefSeq lists it as uncharacterized. The transcript has 2 exons. The record is from RefSeq and is a predicted model, not a curated record. Lineage: Eukaryota; Metazoa; Chordata; Testudines; Dermochelyidae.